RNAcentral lists this long non-coding RNA (591 nucleotides) under Equus caballus (horse). Its description in RNAcentral is "lncRNA (ENSECAG00000054036.1)". Lineage: Eukaryota; Metazoa; Chordata; Mammalia; Perissodactyla; Equidae. The record is from RNAcentral.
CAGAAAGCAACUAACAUGAUCUGACUUUGUCAUGACAAUCGGGAAGGCUCGCUCAGGAGCUUCAUGCACAGGACACUGGGUGGGGACAAGGGUAGAAGCUGAAAACCAGUCAGGAGGCCGUUCUAAUAACCCAGGUUCUCGAGGCUGCUGCAGUCCUUGGCUCAUGGCCCCACAUCACUCCGACCUCUGCUUCCAUUGUCACAACUCCCCUUCUGUCUCUCUCUUAUAAGGACACUUGUGAUCACGUCGGGCACCAGGAUGACUAGGCUCCCCUCCGCAUCUUCAGAUCCUCAAUUUAAUCACAUCUGCAAAGUCCUUUUUGCCUGUAAGGUUUUGACAUAUGCUGCAACCGUCACCACAAGCAAGAGAGUGAACAUAUCCACCCCCCAGGUUUCCUCAUACUUCCUGGUCAUCCUUCCCUCCACGGCACCCCUGAGCCACCACUGAGCUGCUUCCUGCCCCGUAGAUGAGUUGAGCAAGUGCAUAUCCAACCUUCAAGAGCGUCAUUGUUCUGUCGUCUCUAUAAUAAUAAUAAAUUAUUGCUUUAUUAUCUGAUAUCUCUCUGGAGUUUUAAUUCGAUUAAAAAUCUUU